UGCUUUACACAGCUCACAUCACCACGAGUCUGACAACUCACCGCGAACAUGUCGGCCCCUUGUCUUCUCCUGGUCGUGCUCGUCGCAGCCGUCGCCGUCGAUUCUUAUCCAGUUGGAUACGGAGGAAAAUCGUACGGAUAUGGUGGCUAUGGUAAGUCCUAUCUUUCUGAAUUUAUUCUCCAUUUAUUCCAACGUGCGGGGUUGUAGGUUCAUAGAUUCUCUGUAAAUUAUCCCUUGUCAAUUAUAACAUAGACGUAGUGUGAGCGGGUGAUCGAUGGGCGGCGUGGACUUGGUGGCCCGAGGAUCUGUUUCCAUUCUGCAUCACUAAUCCUAAGUAUCCAGCUGGUUUGUCACGCAACAGUUAUGAUUCUUGGAAAGAUAUAUUGAUACUGAAGGGAUUAGAGAGCAAUGGGCCAAAUGCAGGCAUCUGGGGCAAUUUGGCGUGCCAAGUCAAACAAUAUUAACCAUAUAACAAUUACAGCACGGAAACAGGCGAUCUCGGCCCUUCAAGUCCGCGCCGAACAUUUAUUCCCCCCUAGUCCCAUCUACCUGCACUCAGACCAUAACCCUCCAUUUCUUUCCCGUUCAUAUACCUAUCCAAUUUAUUUUUAAAUGAUAAAAUCGAACCUGUCUCCACCACUUCCACUGGAAGCUCAUUCCACACAGCAACCAUUUUAUUAUUUCAUUUUAUUGGAUGACAUGUGUUUAUUUUAUUUAUUUUUUUUUUUUAUUUUUUUUUUUAUUAGAAGUACGGUAAAUUACAAUCCUACACAACACAUAUAUCUUAAUACAUUUUUUGUACCGCUUCAUUUUUUUUUUGAGCUUUAAGAAAAAGGUAGAAGUAAGGAAAGUAAAGAAAGUGCAAGAGAGUCGUGAAGUGCAAGAGUGUUGGGAAAAGAAAGCCCCUUAGGAAAGAAGUUAGAGAAGGAAGUAAAGUGAGAAAAUAGACCCUAGAAAAGAAAGAAAGAGAAAAUAGAAACAAUCGCUCUAUUAUAACAUUAAACUCCGCAGAAAGGGGACUACCAACCAAGUCUGUUUUUGUUGUUUUACCUCCCGUUACCAGGUCCUGAUACCACUUAUUUAUAUAUUUGUUUUUUUUUUAAUUACUAUUGCACCUCAUACUUGUAAUAGGUCCAGAAACAUAGACCACGUCUUUUGGAAUUGGUCUGCUUUACCUGCUAGGAGGAAUCUCAUCUCUUCCAGAUGUAAUGUUUCAAACAUAUUUGAUAUUCACAUUUUUAUUGUUGGUGUCGGCGUAUUUUUCCAGAAUUUAAGUAUAAGCUUUUUUCCCAUUAUUAGCCCGUAAUUAAAUAAAUUCUUCUGAAACACGUUUAAUUCAGGGUUACCUUCCGAUAUUCCGAAGAUAAUCCAUUCUGGUUUUGGUACCAGUUUUAUUUUGAUCCAUUUUGAAAAAAUAUCAAAUAUUUCAUACCAGAAUUUUUGGAUUUUUGUACAAAAAACAAAAGAGUGCGCUAUGGUAGCUUCUUGACACAGGCAUUUAUCACAGAUUGGUGAAACAUUAGGGAAGAUUUUAUUUAAUUUAGUUUUUGAAUAAUAUAAUCUAUGUAAUGUUUUAAAUUGGAUGAGCGUAUGUCGUACGUUGAUCGAACAUUUAUGCACCUGUAGUAAAUGAUUAUCCCAGGUCUCUUUUGAGAUUUUUAUAGCUAAUUCUUGUUCCCAAUCUUUUCUAAUUCCAUCUGUUGUGGGUAUUUCUAUGUUUAAAAUUAUAUUAUAUAGGUACGAUAUUAAAUUAGCUGAUUCCGCCUUGGUCUUCAUUGCUUCAUCCAAUAAGUCGGAAGGCAUAUUAUGAUAGUCUUUUGUGCGUUUUUUCAGAUAAUCACAAAUUUGAAGACAUUUAAAAUAUUGGUUAUUUUUCAAAUUAUAUUUCAGUUGUAGUUGUUGAAAUGAUAGUAAAUUCCCCAAUUCAUACAGAUCUUCGAGCGUUUUAAUUCCCAUUAUUUCCCAUUGUAUAAAUGAUUUGUCUAUGAUUGAUGGUUUAAACGAUGGAUUAUUGACUAUUGGUAUUAAAAGAGAUAGGUUUCUUAAUUUUAAAUUCUGUUUUAUUUGUUUCCAUGUUCUUAUUGUGUUAUGUA
Molecule: long non-coding RNA, 2093 nt
Organism: Leucoraja erinaceus (little skate)
Lineage: Eukaryota; Metazoa; Chordata; Chondrichthyes; Rajiformes; Rajidae
Exons: 3
Source: RefSeq, a predicted model, not a curated record